GGGAGGAUCCCCUAAUUCCAGGCUGAGGGUAACUGAGACCAUGGAAGGCAAAACCAUGGAUAAGGGAGGAAUACUGUAUACAAAAUCAUUGCCAUUGAGGUUUUGAUUGAUUUGCAUUUGCCUCUGCAAUGGAGAAACUGAGCAGUCACAAAGCAGUAGAUGAACAAUAAAGCGGCUGAAGCAGGAAAUACAAGGAGUUUCAUGGUAUUAGAUAAAACUUUCACCCUGGAUCUUGAUAGAACCAGAUCAUGGGAGGCCAGCAUCUUGCUUAUAGAUACUCUUGAAUGCUAUUGAAAGGCCCAUUAAAUUAAAUAUACAAACCCUUGGCAACAGGGGAUUGCCAUGAAUUUGACUGUUAUCUGCAAUGUGUCAGGAAAUACUUCGUGAUGUUUUCCUCAACAGUGACACAGAAAAUAAAUUGAAAUUAAUUGUUUUUAGUUGAUUAACU
This 448-nucleotide long non-coding RNA is filed under the name Vulpes vulpes (red fox). Its description in RNAcentral is "lncRNA (ENSVVUG00000002285.1)". Lineage: Eukaryota; Metazoa; Chordata; Mammalia; Carnivora; Canidae. The record is from RNAcentral.